AAGGGCGCACGGUGGAUGCCUUGGCACUAGGAGCCGAUGAAGGACGUGACAAACGACGAAAUGCCUCGGGGAGCUGUAAGUAAGCACUUGAUCCGGGGAUGUCCGAAUGGGGGAACCCAACAGGUUGAUGCCUGUUACCCAUUUC
Molecule: small RNA, 145 nt
Filed under: Streptococcus sanguinis SK1 = NCTC 7863
Lineage: Bacteria; Bacillati; Bacillota; Bacilli; Lactobacillales; Streptococcaceae
Also listed under: 11 other names
Rfam family: Bacterial large subunit ribosomal RNA
Source: RNAcentral